UGGGGCUGGACAUGGAUGGCGGCGCACUCAGCCCACUGUUCCCUUUGGCUUGCAGGUGGCCAUCAAAAAGGUGCCACGGAACCGUGUUCAGCACUGGGGCGAGCUGAGACGCCGGAGAAAGGACACGUAACCCGGAAGCCGAGGCACAUAAAAGGAGAAACACGGAAGCGGGAAGCGCGGCAGUUUCGCGGAGAAGAAAUUUUUACCUUCUCCCCUGUCGCCUGGCGCCGACUUUUGCUUAUUGCUGGCUUGCUGUAAUUAAUAAAACCUUUCCUUAUAUCUCUCUCUCUAGUGCA
Molecule: long non-coding RNA, 296 nt
Filed under: Cyanistes caeruleus (blue tit)
Lineage: Eukaryota; Metazoa; Chordata; Aves; Passeriformes; Paridae
Description: lncRNA (ENSCCEG00000009082.1)
Source: RNAcentral